UAUCUCUCCGUACGGGGAAGGAUGAGAAGCUUCGACUAAGGUUCGAUUCGAGCGCAGCGAGAAAGCGUUGCCGCAGGCAACGACCCGAAGGGCGAAG
RNAcentral lists this small RNA (97 nucleotides) under Salmonella enterica. Its description in RNAcentral is "partial RtT sRNA". It matches the Rfam family "RtT RNA", at positions 1 to 96 of the family's 130-position model. Rfam says of the family: This family represents a bacterial cis-regulatory element known as RtT RNA. The exact function of RtT is unknown although it is thought that it may be involved in changing the cellular response in relation to amino acid starvation. The record is from RNAcentral. RNAcentral also lists the same sequence under 1 other name. Lineage: Bacteria; Pseudomonadati; Pseudomonadota; Gammaproteobacteria; Enterobacterales; Enterobacteriaceae.